UCACUUCUAUGUUCGGAACUGCUGUACUAGUACCGGCUUUUGAAAUGAAGUGUUUGUGUACAAAUAAUGUACCAUGAUAAAAAUGACUUCAAAUUAAUUCAUCAAACCUAAAUUGAAUAAGUGCACCUACUAAUUUAUAUUUAUUUGUCAUCGGUCCGAAGCUUGAGUAGUGAAUACGGAAAACACUGGUAGUUUUAUCACUAUACAAAUGCAAAUUAACCUAAUCUGUUUGUCAGUGCUAUCUUAUCAUAAUGAAAUUCAUAGUCGAUUCAUGGAAAACAUUGAUUGAUAAUUUAUAAUUUGUUAUUUAUGUAAAGAAGUGUGAGUCAUGUAAUAAGGAAGAAAAAUGAGUAGAACAAUAAAAACAGUUUUCUUUGUGGUACUGUUUGCUACCAGCCUAGGUGAUAAGAAAUGUGAUUUUACCAGCUUGCUUCAGCAAGAAUGUUCAGCUAAUGAGUCGUGUGAUGAGUCUAAUACUUGCCGAUGUCUACCUGAUUUUGAACUGAAAGACAAUAUUUGUGUCCACAAAGUGAACAAUGAUGCCAAUUCUGCAAAUUAUUCCGAUCUGGUUGAUAACCAAGGAAGUGGGUCUCUAGCUGCUGGAAUUUUAGUUCCUCUCUUUUUAAUAGUAUUUGUUAUGUGUGGUUUAUAUCUAACUAGGAAAUACAACCUCGUUCAUUGGUUCAGAAACCGAUUUCUUAGGAGAAAUGAGAACUAUGAUGAAUUCAUGAUAGGUCAUGAUCUUGAUGACGACGAUGAACCUCUUCAGUAAAUAUGAUUGUAAAGGUACUUGAUGAAAGCCAUUCCUAAUUUCAUAUUCGGUUCCAUGAUAGGAUUGUAAAACAUUACUGUGACUACAAUUGUUGCUAUUGCAUGCAUAUUAACAGUGAACAAUAUUUGUAUGUAUUAUACUUGGGCUAGGUUCCGAUAAUUAAUGUUUGAUGAUCUUUUUCACUCGAUACUGAUUUUUCGCAUUCCCCAAGUAAUGUUGUUAUUGUUACUGAUAGAGGUCUCAAAAAAUGUUCUACCAAAAAUCUUUCAUAUUGAGAAAUCUCUUACUCAGGGGAUUCCCCAGAUUUCCAUUCAAAAUGAAAUUCUAAAGUUUUUGUGAAGGUCAUCUGUUGAUAAGAUCUGCUUCAGUUGAUACUCAAAACCAGUUCUAGCUGUGCCAUAUAAAAAUUCAAAUCAAUCUCUUUUGAAAUUGAUGGCCGUAGGGUUUUGAUAGUUUGCAGGUUUCAACAUGAAUGAAAAUCAUCUAUUUUGAAUCUCGUAUAUUUAUUGUUUCACUGCUAAGUGAAGUUUUCAUAGAUAUUUGGUUUUCAACACAAAUAGAGAAUGCUGGUACAUCUAAAUUGCAAAUUUAUGAUUAGCAAUUUUUUUAUAAAAUAGAUGAAUAUUUGUGUGCAAUGAACAAUGUUUUCUGAAACCUGAAAAAAAUCUAGAGCUUUUUGAAAUGGCUUAAUAUUUCCUCCAAGAGGAAAAUGUGCCUAAUUAUAGCCAGUAUCUGAUGUGAUUUUUAAUUUUUGCUCAUUCAAAAACGUAGUAUUUGAAAGACUUUGCCAUUUUUAUUUUUAGAUGUUAUUGUACAUGUUAGAAAGAGUUUUGUAUAUUUGUUACUUUCCUGAGUUAAUGUAUAUUGACAAGUACAAUCCGUGAACCAAAGGAUAUUUUACUAUGUAAGUAAUGAAAAUAAAACGCUAAUUUAUUACUCU
Molecule: long non-coding RNA, 1712 nt
Filed under: Leptinotarsa decemlineata (Colorado potato beetle)
Lineage: Eukaryota; Metazoa; Arthropoda; Insecta; Coleoptera; Chrysomelidae
Description: uncharacterized LOC111505004
Source: RNAcentral